This 5640-nucleotide long non-coding RNA is filed under the name Heterocephalus glaber (naked mole-rat). Its description in RNAcentral is "lncRNA (ENSHGLG00000042785.1)". The record is from RNAcentral. Lineage: Eukaryota; Metazoa; Chordata; Mammalia; Rodentia; Bathyergidae.
GCGAGCUGGGCUUAGAGGACUCAGUGUAAAGGGAAGGCUUAGGCUCUGACGGUGCUGGAGAGUUAAGAAUGUGCCUUCCCUCCACCCCCACCCCAGGCACCUUAUUUAAAAAAAAACAAAAAACACCUUCUUUUAUUUAAAAAAAAAAAUCUAACCUUGGAAGUUUGCUCGAGUACGGUGUCUGCUGGGUGAGCCUGAGCUGGGGCGCAGCCUGGAUGUCCCAGUCCUUUAGAGGAAUGGCAGCUGCCACAAGAUGUGACCUUGGCAUUUGAGAUCACCAGGGAGUUGGUGUGAGCUCCAGAGACAACACCAGCGUUGGGCACGGUAGAUCCAGGUGCCAGACCUUGCUUUUCCUGCUCUGCAACUUCAAUGGCUCAAAUGCCCAUCGCAGGGUCUUCAAAGUGGUGUAAUGCCAUCUACCCCUCAUAUAUUGUGCCAAGAUAGAAGCACUUUCCUGUGAGAAGUAUCCUUUUAACACACACACACACACACACACACACACACGCACAUGCACACGCACGAGUGCGCACAUUUUCCCAGUGAUGGGGACUAUUGAAUUCAGGGCCUCAUGCCUGCUAGGCAAAUGCUCUGCCACUGAGCUAUACUGCCAGGCCUUUUAAGGACAUUUUAUUUUGAGACAGGAUCUUCCUAAGGUGCCCAGGCUGGUUUUGAAUUUAGGAUCCACUUGCUUUAGCCUCCUGAGUAGCUGAGAUUAUAGGUAUAUGCCACUAGGCUUAACUUCCUUCUUUAUACAGUGGUACCUCAGUUCAUGAACUUAAUUCUUUCCAUGAUUCUGAUUGUAAACUGAAUUGGAUGAGAACCAAAUCAAAUUCAAUGGUUAGGUUUGAUGUCGACCUUAUGGGGAAAUUUAAUUUGGUUCUCAUGCAAUUUGGUUUGCAAUCAGAAUCAUGGAAAGAAUGGUUUGUGAACCGAGGCACCACUGUAUUCUCUUAAAAGUUAAAAUGUAAAUAAAUAAGUAUAAUUUAAUAUAGUAAUUAAAUAUGCACAUAGCAUGUCUGAGUAAGUGUUUACCAGUGUCCUUCCCUUUCAGGCCCCUGCAUUUUAACAUAGACUUGCCAGAGGAAGCUGGCUCAUGUGCAUUUUGUGAAGGAAAGUGAGCAGCAUGGGGUUGUCCACUGGAGACUCCAUAUGGCACACUGCAGUAUGCUCCUGUGUCCAAGGCUGAAACUUAGAACCAUAUCUCAGUUCUGGAUCUGGCAUCCAGGCCCAUCUUGAUCCUGGGUUUAGGAGACAGCCUAUAGCAUGCAGCUCCCUUUGAGACAUGUGACAAGCAUGUGGAUAAAGACCCAGAGUCUUCAAAGCUAAUUUCACCUCUGACAUCUGACCUCUUCAGUCAAUAUCCCUCAGUACUGGGUAUCUCAUAGGUCCCUGUUCCUCCUUCCCUGUGUCCUAUUGUCCUAGUUCAGACCCCACCUCUGUCACUCAUUGCCGGGACCACAGAACCAGUGGGAUCCUAGCCUUCAACUCUUCCUCUUCCCCACCAUUCCCACACUCACUCUAAAUGGGAAGCUGAUAGUUUGCCCCUUGCUGAAAAUUGUGCAGUGGUUUUACGUUGCUCUACAAGAUGAUUCGAUUCAGCAUCUGUCCUUCCAGGGUAUUUCAGUCUGCUUAGGUAGCAUCACACAAUACCUUGGACUAGAUGAUUUACAAUCAGUAAAAAUUUACUGUGCAUGGUUCUGAAGGUGGUGAAGUCCAGGAUCUGGCUCCUGAAAGACUGCAUGACUGGGACAGCAGAGGAAGAGGGAUAAAGUGCCUGGAUAUGUGCAUUCAUCGAGUGUCCUGAAGAUGCUCCUUCUGACUGGAAGAGCUGAAGAGACAAGACUUUUCACUAAGUGAUAUUUUUGAUGCAGUCUAAGGAUUUAUCUCAAAAUCCCAGUCACAUUACUUCCUGAGAACAAAAGGUCUGCUGAAGUUGCCUGAUGAAAAGUCCAGCCUUCCAGAAUCUUCCAUUCUACAAGUGCUACCUACAGUGACUCUGAGAGAUUGAUUAUUUAUUACGGAGAUGGGAAGAAAAGGAAACGACCAGCCCGUCACACGUCCCUGGCCCAGAUCUGCCAGUCUCUCUCUUCCCGGUCUCAGGAAACUGUGCUGACAGUCCUCGAGGUGCGGUGGGGAGGUUCUCUUACAGAGUCCCUCUGGAGGGAGCACAGGCAGAAGGACCCCUGGAGCGAUCUUCCUGGGCUGCCCCAGAAUGCAUUCCUCAAAGUCAGAUGGAAACCAGAGCCCCUGGCAACCACUCACCUGCUUUCUGUCUGUGUGGAUUGACCUGUUCUGGAUAUUUCCUGCAAAAGGAAUGCUGAAUUUUAGUACCGGGCUUCUUUUCCUUCCUGUAAUGUUUUUGGAAUCCAUCCACAUUGUUGAGUGUAUCAGUGUAUCAGUACUUCACUUAUUGUACAGCUGAGUAAUUCCAUGGCACUUGUCCCUGGUUUUGUAAGUAAGGUUUUCCUGGACAAAGCUGUCCCCAUUACUUUACAUACUGUCUACCACUGCUUUUGCAUUUAAUGGCAGACCUGGGUAGUUGUCAAAGAGAACAUGCAGCCUGCAAAGACUUAAGUCUGUACUGUCUAGCCCUUUACUGAGAAGAAUUGCAGAUCUUUGCUAUAGUAAUAAUUUUGGGGAACUUUGUCAUGAUGCUGUGCAUGGAAAUUCUAAAGUUUCAAUAGGAUUUAUUUAUUUUUUAUCAUGAUAUAAUUUUAAGGUUCAGCUGAAGGAAGAAAGGUUACACAACUUUUGGAAAGGGAGAGUUGUUAGAGGUACCUGCCCUCCAGGAUUGUGCAGUACAGCCUGGACUGUCCUGGCUCAAGGAGGUGGAACUCAUGCAGGAGUAGACAGACCAUAGACAGGACUGGGAAGAUAGGGAAGGGACCCAUAACAGAUGUGGAAGAAAUCUGGCCAGACUGGAAGGACGCUGGACAAUUGGGAGUGACACCAGCCAUGUGGAAGAUGGGUUGCUGGAUCUGCCUCUACUCUGAAGUGAAUUCCAGAGGAAUAAAAUACUUCAGUGUGUAACAAAGGAGUUGCACAUACCAGGAGAAAAUAUUGACAUCCAUCUUACUAAUCUUGUAGGAGAAAAAUUCUUUUAAGCUUCACAGAAAAAGGCAAUGCAAAGCAAAAAAUUGAUCAAUGUGGCUUUUCAAUAAAGUGGCCUAAAAUGUAAAACUUGUCCAUGGCAAAAGCACUGUAAGUAAAACUUAUAGGAUGGAACCAGAUUAACCUGGGAAAAGUAUUGUUUUGUUAUAGAUAAAGAGUUACUGAGUCCAAUAAUAUAAUUUAUUUGUCUCUUGCAAAUGAAUGAGAAUCUGAAGAGUGCACAAUAAAUAAGGGAGAAACAUGGUACAAACCGGGACAAAGGCAACUCACCAGCAAGUGCACUAUGGUGGGUGUUCAACCUUGUAAAUAAUUGGUCUAAAUUUUAUUGAUGUAAAUUUACACAUGUCUUUUUUUGUUGUUUGUUUGAGUGACAAGGUGAAAAAAAUUGAGAAACCCCAGUGACAAUAAGGUUGUGGGAAAAGUGGCUUUUAAGACUCGGUUGCAGUAACUCUGUUUGUAGGGAAAUCUGAUUUCAGAUCAUAGUUUGAACUGCACAGGCCUUUUUUUGGUAUCGGGGAUUGAACUUGGACCUUGCACUUGGGAAGCAGAUGCGGAGCCACUGAGCUAAAUCCUUGGCCCUACACAGGCCUUUUGAUCCUGCAUCAUUGUGCCUUGGGCCUUCAUUUUUAGAAACUAAGUUUUCUUUCAGCUGUGAAAAGCUAGAAACUAUCUUGUCUCAAUGUUCAUCAGUAGAUUUGAUAAAAGAAUGUGUUGGACAUCCCUAUAAUGGGUCCCAAGGAGCCACUGAAAAUGAGGCAGAAUUUCCAACAGUCCUAUCUAUUGUAAGUGUCCUCCUUGUUCUUUACCAAUCUUGGGAUUUUGCUUGGCUUCCUCUUUAAUUGAGAAACAUUUUCCCCUGGAUUCAUUAAGGUGCAAACUUAGUGAAAAUGAUGGACAUUUGGAGAUUUUACUUAUUUAUUUUUACUAGCUAAUGAUUUUACAGGUAUUACACUUAACACUAUAGUAAUAAAGACUUCACACAAAUCCAUGCUUCAUAGCCAUGGACUUAAGCUCGUGAGUGUAUGUGUUGUGUGUGCAUGCAUAUGUGCAUCAGCAUGCUUGUGUACCCGUGUGUGUCUGUGUGUGCACAUGUGCACAUGUGUCUGGUUGUUUGUGUGUGAUCCUGGAGUGCCAGCAUCCAGCUGAGUAUGCAGCCAGCUGGAGGACUUGCUCUGGUUCUCUUUUAAGACAGUCUCAGGGGAUUAAUAAAGCAAGUAAGGAUAUAAUCUGUCUCCUCCAGGAGAAGACCUUUCUGCCCGUAGGAUCCCUUGUUUUUUGAAUACAGCAGUGUGGAAUGUGGAUGCCAAGGGAAAAUUUGUUAUUUGGAGACAAACCUUACAGUGUGACUCAACCCUUUGGAAAUCCCUGUGCACCUUUCCCUCUGUUCCUGGUAACUUAUUGGCCUCUUCCACCUCUGGCUUCUAUUGCUCCUGCUGACUGUCCCUGCCUGCCUGCUGCUGCACUUUACCUCCAUCCUCCUUCCAUCCUGAGUCUCUGGCACAGAAGGCAGCAUGUGUCCCCUUCUGUCUCACAGACACAGAAGCUAUUAAAGCAUAGGUUACCUAGAGCAGUGGUUCCCAAACUUUUUCUGAUCACCCUUAUUACUAAAAUAUUUUGGCAUGAACACCCAAGGCAUACAUACCUAUAUAUUGUAUGUUCCCACUAUUGUGUGAAUUUAUUGUAUACAUUAUGCAAUAUAUAAAAAGGUGAAAGUUUAAAAGGAUGAGAUUUUAAAAAAGAUAAAAAUUCGAAUCUUUUCUCCAUGUACUUAACAAAGCUCCUUUGGUGGCUGAUAGACCAGAGAUGGGAAGGACAUUGGAAGGCUCCCUUUAGGGGGCUCAAUGGCACUGCAAACUCUGUCCUCCCCAAGGGCCAGGAUUCCUUCCCCAGCAGUUGGCCCAGGUCCUGCUGUCCACUGUGCACCAUAGGUGUGGCUGCAAAUGACCAGAAGUCUUUUCUGCUGCACUUUCUUUCCUGGCCUCUGCUCAUUCACACACUUCCUGCUACUCUCUGAGUUGCCUUUGGGUCCACUGUCUCCUGGUGAGGACUUGCCUGGCUCACCAAAUCCUAAGUCACACACACAGGUCCAACCCCUGUGUCUCCCGGAUGGGCCGAGGCCACAGCCUCAGCCAUUUUAAACUUGGGGUUCUCCCCACAGCUGUACACACAAUGGCUGCUCAUCACUAAGGACCUUGGUCAUGAACACCUGUUCUGAGGUCUCAUGUAGUUUACCAACUCUUAAAUGGCACAGAGAAGCAAAGAUGCUGCAUACCACAUGUGUGGGAGAGAAAAGUCCAUCCCUGAUGGGUGGCCUCAAGAUACCAGUUACAUGGGGACAGAGAGUUUGCAACCAGUCCAAAGUCUGACACCAAGAGCAGUGCCCGGCCCCGGAACAGUUUUUUUGGAGGAGUGAAUGACUUGGAUCAGUACACUCAGGACCUCUGCCAUGCUUGCUUCCGUGUGGGGUAUGAAGAAACAUUAUAAUGCACAUCAGGGAGAUUUUUCCUCCAAACUGGGAGACAAAAUGUA